RNAcentral lists this long non-coding RNA (728 nucleotides) under Sorghum bicolor (sorghum). RNAcentral's name for it is "long non-coding RNA (SBIC_LNC001802)". Lineage: Eukaryota; Viridiplantae; Streptophyta; Magnoliopsida; Poales; Poaceae. The record is from RNAcentral.
AAACUUAAAAUUGGUGUCCAGGGUCCAUACGUAUGUUAUUAAAGGCACCUAAAACAUCAUGUUUGUUGUUCGUCAUCGUCAUCAUAAUAUAUCCUUAGCCGCCACCAGACCCAUACUUCUUGCCGAAGACGAUCACCUGGAGCUUGUCGUACCCAGCAAGGACACCAGCACCAGCAACAGCACGGAGGAUGUUUGCCCCAGCACCCUUGAAGAGGGACUUGGUACCCUCCUUUGCAACAAUCUGCUUGAAAGCAUCCAAGGAGCUGUUGUACUUGACGGCCUCACCAGAUGUCAUCAUCAUGCGACGGCGAACAGUAUCAAUGGGGUAAGAGGCAAGGCCAGCACCAAUGGUUAUACCCCAGCCGAGCAAGAAGCUGGCUAAGAAGUUGUCCUGCAGAACACACCAGUGAACACAAUAUUAAUAAGAUUCAGUAAAAGACCACAUUUGACCUAAGUUUCAAAAAGAAAGGAUCAAUAUGCGAAUCAAUAAGCACAAGAAAAUUGAUUACGCAAAAAAACUGUACCAAAAUUUGAGCAGGGGACAAGCAAUUAUGAUUCAAAGCGGGUUAACACUACCAUUGUAAUUAGCAAUCUGGGUUCAGGUUACUGACCUGCAGGGUACCAACAAGAAGCACUGGCUUCAGGGAGUCAUACAUACCAAAGUAAAGACCUCGGUACACAAUGAUUCCCACACAAGAGAUAUUGAAUCCACGGUAGAGGCCGCGAAU